AUGGAAGUGAUGAUUAUUUCCCCAGAUGAUCGACGCUGAUUAAACUGAGCUAUUUUUGUUCUCUUUGAGAAUCCAAGCCAGUGCUCUGAUCCAU
Amaranthus tricolor (Joseph's coat) is the source of this 94-nucleotide small nucleolar RNA. RefSeq annotates it as small nucleolar RNA Z103. The record is from RefSeq and is a predicted model, not a curated record. The transcript has a single exon. NCBI's taxonomy places the organism in Eukaryota, Viridiplantae, Streptophyta, Magnoliopsida, Caryophyllales, Amaranthaceae.